GUUGAAGGGGAUUGUUUAAGAGUUUUGUCUUCCUACCAGAAAUGGAAAAUUAUAGUCGAAAACUGUACUGUUUUGGAUUUACCACGCACUGCGAAUCAGUGUCGGAGCAAGUGGAAUUCGUUGCUGGCUGAGUACAACCAGAUCAAACAAUGGGAUUCCAAGUCCAAGAACGAUUCGUAUUGCUUUUUGGACUGUGAAAGGAGAAAACAAUUAGGACUUCCUGAGAAUUUUGACAACGAGCUCUUCAAAGCUAUUGACGAUUAUGUGAGGGCACAGAAGGACCGCCCGGAUACGGAUCCAGAUACUGAUCCGGAGGCACAGGCUGACCUGCUUCAUGUAAUAGCAAAACUUGGGUCCAAGAGAAAACUUAAUGCAUUACUAGGAGAAAAGCCUCAAAAUUGCUGCACAAAGGAACAGCCUCUGAAAUUCCAUACUGGAGAGGAACCUCAGAAUAGUUGGAAGGGAGAAAAUCCUCAGAUGUGCUGUGAAAAGGAAAAGCCUCAGAAUAUCCAGGCUGAAGAGAAACCUCAGAAGACUCUUAUGGAAGAGAAGCCUAAAAAUGACUGCACACAAAAAAGGAAGAUAACUGGCACAGAAGAAAUGGACCAAAUGAUGGUGGACAGGCUGCGAGAGAAUGCAGAAUUCAUCCAUGCUAUAGUUCAAGAAAACCCUCCUGAGAUAGCAGACUUUGGGGCCGCUGAUUUUGUAAGAGGUCAAGGGGACAAG
Molecule: unclassified non-coding RNA, 726 nt
Filed under: Hevea brasiliensis (rubber tree)
Lineage: Eukaryota; Viridiplantae; Streptophyta; Magnoliopsida; Malpighiales; Euphorbiaceae
Source: RNAcentral